UCCACCCGUUCCCAUACCGAACACGGAAGUUAAGCCCUCCAGCGCCGAUGGUACUUGGGCUUAAGCCCUGGGAGAGUAGGUCGUUGCCAGGC
Molecule: ribosomal RNA, 92 nt
Filed under: Laceyella sacchari
Lineage: Bacteria; Bacillati; Bacillota; Bacilli; Caryophanales; Thermoactinomycetaceae
Also listed under: 1 other name
Source: RNAcentral